GCUACUAGAUAGAUAGAAAGAUAGAUAGAUAGAAAGAAAAAAAGAAAGAAAGAAAGAAAGAUUCAUAACUAAAUGUCUGAUGC
RNAcentral lists this non-coding RNA (83 nucleotides) under Pseudopedinella elastica. Lineage: Eukaryota; Dictyochophyceae; Pedinellales. The record is from RNAcentral.